Small nucleolar RNA from Herpailurus yagouaroundi (jaguarundi), 74 nucleotides. RefSeq annotates it as small nucleolar RNA SNORD113/SNORD114 family. Lineage: Eukaryota; Metazoa; Chordata; Mammalia; Carnivora; Felidae. The transcript has a single exon. The record is from RefSeq and is a predicted model, not a curated record.
UGGACCAGUGAUGAUGACCUGCUGGUGUAUGACUCAUGGAUGAUGAAUAAUGAGUGUGGAACACUGAGGGCCAA